This 598-nucleotide long non-coding RNA is filed under the name Androctonus crassicauda. Lineage: Eukaryota; Metazoa; Arthropoda; Arachnida; Scorpiones; Buthidae. The record is from RNAcentral.
UUAUGCCUCUAUCAGAGAAAAAUGAGAUUGUUAUUUAGAACAUUUGUUCUCAUCCAACAAAUAUGUUUAUAGUUUUCCAUGAUUUAAUUGUUUUGGAGACAAGAGUCCACGGGUUGGUCUAUUCAAUACUUUAUCAUAUAUCCCUUUUGAUGCAUCUCUCUCCACCCUCUAAAUUCCUCUCUCUAAUUCUCCCCUCUUCCCUUCCUUAUUAUCAUCAUCAUCAUCGAUUGCACAGCUGCCAUAAACUGGAUUUGACAGUUUCUCUAAUUAUCGAGCUCUAUUAAAAAACCUGGGAUAAUUAGAGAUAUUGACGUAAAUUCCUCCUCAUUUAUGAAUAUAGGUAUCAGCAAAUGAUAUAUGCUGUUCCUAGUAGUGUUGCCUUCUGUAGUUGACUGAUGUUGAUUUUGUCAAUUCCAAAGGCAGCCAGGUGUUGUUCUAGGUCUUUUGGGAUUGUCCUCAAAGCACCAAUGAUGAUUGGUGGAGUUGGAGCCCAGAGCCAUGGAGCCAGGAAGUUUUGGAGGAGCUGGAGCUAAGCUGAUCAUAUUCAGUGGAGCCGGAACCAUUAAAAUUUCUGAUGGCUCCAGCUCCUAAUCAUCUG